Molecule: long non-coding RNA, 2750 nt
Filed under: Olea europaea subsp. europaea
Lineage: Eukaryota; Viridiplantae; Streptophyta; Magnoliopsida; Lamiales; Oleaceae
Source: RNAcentral
UAAAAACACGGCAAAAUUGAAAAAAACACAACGAAACAACCCAUUUUCCAUUACUGUGCGUGAAAGCAGAAGACCCUCUACCUUCUUCCUGUGUAGUCGACCACCAUCGCCACCUAGAACACUAGAUUUCACAACGAUUCAAAAUUAUUGAAGUCUUUUUGCUAAAAUGAAAACUAGUUACUAUUCACAUUUGCCCAAAAACACAUAAACCAAAAACUUGUAUAAUUAACAAUGGAUCACUACAUGAUUGUUUGUCUUUUACAGUUUUUUUUUUAUUAUUAUUUUAUUUGAAUUUGGGUGAUUUUGCUUGAUUGAUCAUCGAAUUUAGCGAUUAACGUCAUUAACGUGCCGAAAAUUUUAAAAAGACUUGCUUUUAGGUCUAUCCCUUGCACCUUUUAACCCGUUUGUGUUUUACUGCUUCUGCCUCUCUUAUUAUCGAAAAUCACUUUCUGGGUUCUGUAGAUACUGUAUAAAAUCUGUUGAUUUUCUUGGUAUUUUUUCUAUUUCUUUACUUUAUUUCGUUACAUUUUAUGGUUAUUCUACUAUGACAAUGUUUAGCAUACUCUUCUUUUAUCAUUUCUUUGUUAUAUUUCGUGAUUUUUUUGCUAAAUUUGACUAGAUGGGAAGUUGAGUAAUGCAUCUAUAAUUUAUUCGAUUCUGAUAUGAAAUCUAAUGCGGGAUUAUUAGAAAAUUAUAUUUAUAUGCCCAUAUACAAAACAUCGCUUAAUCCAUAAAUAUGACUCCUAGCUCAGUAACUAUAAUUUUGUUUUUUCCUUUUUUUUUGGUUUUUUCCUUUUUUUUUUGGGUGAUCCAUAAAUCUGAUGUUUUUGAACGUGAUGAAUAGUUUAUGCUCUAAUUUUGUCAAGGUCUUUAAUGACAACCUUGGGCUUUUGAAUUUGAGAAUCGUUACUUGGUUCAGUUUUAGUUUUGUCACUUUGAGAUUUAGGGGAGGAAGCUGCACAAUUAUCGUGUACUUGUUUAGCUUUAACGAUUUUUACAAUAUAUGCUUGAGUAGAAGAAAGAGCAAGAGGUGUAUCAGUGUGGUUUGUAUUUUCAGAAAUGGCAACUUUAAAAGGACUAGUAUGUGCUUAUUGGCGAAGAAUCCAUUGAUGAAGAUAUUGAUGAAUAAUAGAACGCAUUAUCCUUAUCACCUCCAACUAUAUACUCCUGUUUAGUUAAUUAGAUUAGGUUCUAAUUUAUUUUGUAUUUAUCAUGUUCAUAGUUUAGACUUAUCUUUCACUAUAUUUUGUGUAUAAAUACACUACCAAUGUAUUCAAUAAAAUACAACGGAGAAUUUCCUUUUCAUGGUAUCAGAGCCAAACGAUUCACACCUUGUUCAUGGCUGAUUCUAUCUCUUCUCUACUUUCGCUCAGUACGAUGGUCCAUAUGAUGACCAUCGAACUCACUUCCUCCAAUUUUCCUUUGUCGCACAGUCAGUUUAUUCCCUUUUUUGAAAGCCAGGAUCUCAUGGGCUUCUUAGACGGAUCAUCCAUUGCACCUUCUCCUCUCAUUACUGAAGGAACUACCCGAGGUCCAAAUCCAGCCUACAAGAAAUGGCGUACUCAAGAGUGUAUGUUGCUCAGCCUCAUUUUUACUUCCUUGUCUGAGGAGUGUAUGGUCGAGGUUGUCAAUUGUGCUACUACACGUGAUGCUUGGUUGACUCUCGAAAAAUCUUUUUCUCACAGCUCCAAGACACGUGAAAUUCAGCUGAAAGAUGAGCUUCAAUUGCUCCAGCGUGGCUCUCGUAGUGUGGCUGACUAUGCUCGCUCUCUCUGUGACCAACUCUCUGCCAUUGGGAAGUAGUUGAUAAUACAGACAAGGUGCAUUAGUUUCUUCGUGGUCUUGGCCCUGAUUAUAAUUUUUUUCUACCACUAUGCUUUCACAAUGUCCAUUGCCUUCCUUCGCCACCAUGGUCCCGCAAGCUCUUAGCCAUGAGCUCUUCUCUCGAUCCAUCCAUGGUGAAGUCCAACAACAAUCUGCUUUCAUUGCCAGCCACGACUUCUCCAUUAUUUCUGCUGGCCGAAACAAACACACUCCUUUUCCAAAAUGGACAGCCGCAACUCUUCCAAAUCUGCUGUUGUUACUUGCCAGUGGUGUGGCAAAGAUAAUCACACAGCUAAGAAGUGUUAUAAACUUGGCAAGUUGCUGAAAAAGGCUGAAGAUGGUGGUCUCAUUGAAGCUUUUUCAGCAACCUCUCUUGAAGACUCUCACGAAACCGAGUGGUAUACGGAUACAAGGACGACAUCGCAUAUGACUAAUGAUGCAUCAACUCUAGACUCCUCCAUCCCUUACAAUGGUAAUGAGAGGGUGUUUGUUGGUAAUGGUCAUUCUUUACCUAUAUCUCGUGUUGGUUCUAUUUCGUCUAUUGUUGCUUCCCAUUCGUUACCUAUGUCUAAUGUUCUUCUUGUUCCUGGCGUUACCAAAAAUCUUAUUUCCAUCAGUAAGCUUACUCAAGAGAACAAUUGUUCGAUAACAUUUUCUUCUUCCGGCUUUGUCAUACAGGAUCUGGCAACAAGAGCGGUGAAGAGAGUCGGCUGAUGUGAGAAAGGCCUCUAUGUACUUGAUCGUGCCCAUGCAAUUUUUUUGUCUUCUAUUGCUCUUUGUAAUAAUCAUGCUACCUCCAUCAUUUGGUAUGCACGUUUAGGACAUCCUUCUAUUAGGAUUUUGUCUUCUUUACAUAAGCAUGGUGCUAUUUUAAUUUCCAAUAAGAACAAUUUUAAUAAUGAUCGUUGUUUUGGUUGUCAAUUGGG